Molecule: ribosomal RNA, 459 nt
Filed under: uncultured bacterium
Lineage: Bacteria
Description: bacterial SSU rRNA
Rfam family: Bacterial small subunit ribosomal RNA
Source: RNAcentral
AUUGAACGCUGGCGGAAUGCUUUACACAUGCAAGUCGAACGGUAGAGGGGGCAACCCCUUGAGAGUGGCGAACGGGUGAGUAAUAUAUCGGAACGUGCCCAGUCGUGGGGGAUAACGUAGCGAAAGUUACGCUAAUACCGCAUACGAUCUAAGGAUGAAAGCAGGGGACCGCAAGGCCUUGCGCGGACGGAGCGGCCGAUGGCAGAUUAGGUAGUUGGUGGGAUAAAAGCUUACCAAGCCGACGAUCUGUAGCUGGUCUGAGAGGACGACCAGCCACACUGGAACUGAGACACGGUCCAGACUCCUACGGGAGGCAGCAGUGGGGAAUUUUGGACAAUGGGCGCAAGCCUGAUCCAGCCAUUCCGCGUGCAGGAUGAAGGCCUUCGGUUGGUAAACUGCUUUUGUUACGGAACGAAAAGGUCUCUAUUAAUUACUAGGGGCGUCAUGACGGUACUGUAA